RNAcentral lists this long non-coding RNA (2869 nucleotides) under Nicotiana benthamiana. Its description in RNAcentral is "long non-coding RNA (NBEN_LNC039020)". The record is from RNAcentral. Lineage: Eukaryota; Viridiplantae; Streptophyta; Magnoliopsida; Solanales; Solanaceae.
CUAUAGUCAUAUUUUCUACAUGCAUAUGCAAAAUUCAGAUAUCGAAUAAUUAUAGACAUGAUAUCUACAUGAAAGUGUAGAAGUUCCUAUAGACAUGGUAUCUUUACAUGAGAACGCAGAAAUUCCUAUAGACAUGGUAUCUAUAUGAGAAUGCAGAAAUUCCUAUGGACAUGGUAGCUAUAUUAGAAUACAGAAAUUCCUAUAGACAUGGUUAUAGGAGAAUACAUGAUUCCUAUAAAUAUGUUAUCUACAUACAAGAAUGCAGAAAUUCUUAUAGAUAUGUUAUCCACCCUUUUUUACAUACAUAGCUGCCCUAUUUUUUUACUAGACAUCCCGAGAGUUUAAUUACAAAGUUAUUACAUCCCAGAAAGAGUAAAGUUAAGUAAAAAUACAUCAGAAAUUAAAAGUACAACCAGUGAGAACCUGAUUCAGACUUCCUAUCUGAAGUAUGAAGUAAACCAACUCCAAGGAUCAUAUUUAAAAGCUUUUGUCUCAUUUGCGGUGUGGCAGAGUUCCCUAAGAGUUUCAUUAGAACUCUUGGCAGUGCUUACACCCAAAUGUAUCACCAGAUUAAGCCAUAGUGUUGUGUGGAAGGGUAAGCCCUCAAGUGUCUAAGUUCAGAGGGAACUCAAGGUCCCAAGGCAAGGCUUACAAGAGGGGGGCCAAAACUUAGGAACUAAGAGAGUGUGUAAGUGUAGAAGUAGAAUUCUGAAAGGGGAAAAGGAAAAGGGGAAUAACUUAAAAUCAGUACACAUAAGGGUAUAAGGGAAUGGGGAAUUUGCAAGAGGCAAAAUAAAAGUAGGUUGAUGGGCACACCCAGCAAUGGAAGAUGUUGGCACACCCUCCAGCCUGUUUAUAUUGAGUUGGUUCAAACUUAAUUCAUAGGCAAUAACUUACAUUGACAUGCCUUACGUCACAACUUACAAACACAUAGGGUAAUAGGUGUAGGGAGAAAAGAUUCACAGCAGAAACAGGCAAAUGAUAUGAGCAUACUAAUUUAAAUGUUUAACUCUAAAGAAACAUUAAAGUAGCCAUGGAUAUAAAAGUUUUAAAUGAACACAUUGUGGCGAUGCUGAAACUUAAAUUAGGACAUACCAGUUUCAAAGAAACAAAUAGAGAAAAUGCAGUAGUCUUGUAAAAGCCACAGUGCAGACAAGAAGAGAGGAUACUAUCAUGCGUAAGUAAGAGUUCAGAGGGGGUUGUGAAUUGUGAAGUGUAGGAUUGUCAAUCGUGUCUAUUGUGUGUUAAAGAGUCGUGCAUUUAUAGUGUGGAAGUCAUGAGGAAAUAAGGUAAGAAAAUAGUUGAGGAGCUGAUUGUCAAUCAAUUACACAAGACUUUCUUUAAUUAAGGGAUUCAGAUUCAAAACGAUUAAGAACCAUUUAAGGAAAGAAAUUGAACAAACACUUAGUAAAAAGCAUAUAAUUAAGGGUCAAUACAUAAAAGGUUAUUUAAGGAAAGGGUUUUGAAGUGCACAGUUGUACAAAUAAGGUAAUUAAAAAGCCAGUAAAUCAAAGGUCAGGGGUCUUGUAAUUAUUGAUCCAUGAAUGAGCUAAGUCGCGAAAGCCGAGAAGGGUCUUGACUUAGGUCGAGUCACAGAGAGAAUCAGAAAACAAUGGAAAGAAAUCAAUCAGACUAUAUUCAGAGGAGAAUAUUAACUGAUCACAAAUUUGAAGGCCACUUUAAAGGGAAGAUUCAUCAUAUAUAAGGAGCAUACGAACAUGUUAAACAUGAAAAAGACUAUAGUGUCAUUGUAAAAUCAGUAGAGAAAAAUCCAGCAUAGAAGAAUUUAGUAAAAAGUCAGAAUUGUAUGAAAACAAAGAUUUCCAAACUCAGUUCAAAUAAUUAGGAAUUCUUUUAAAUAAAAACUCUAGUUUCAAGUAAACCACAAAACGAAGAUGAGAGGGCAAGCAAUUGAAUCGAAACAUAUUUAGAGGUUUCAGAAAAGAACUGAAACUUCUAACAUGCUUCUUUCAGCAACGGGACUCAUAAGUAACAUGCAAACACAGUAGAAGGUUUCAAAGUAAACAGAGUGAAGAAACUAAUUCGAAGCAUAAUGAAAAAAGACCAACAAGAACAAUAGAAAAAGCUUGCUUAAGAAGAUUUUUUAGAAGAAACUUAAACAGUGCUCAGUAGCAGAAAAAUAAUAAAAACACUUAAGAACACCGUAGAAAAAUAUUGUAGGAGAAACAUACCAGAACAUGGUAGAAGAAAAUACCAGAACAUAGUAGAAAAUCAUACGAGAACAUAGUAUAGGAAAUACAGUAUGCAUACAAAAAUAGGGUAUAGAAAACACAGUAGAAGAACAUACAAGAACAUGGUAUAAGAAAAAUACAAGAACACAGUAGAGUCAAAUACACACAAAAUAAAAAAGGAAAGAAAGUCAGAGAAACACUUAAACAUUUUUUUAGAAAAUCCUAGAUUGGAAAAGAAAUGGUUCUGAAGUAAUUUUUUGAAAGAAAAACCAGAGAAAUCAUUUGAAAACAUAGGUAAAGCACAGAUGCACAAUAUAUCUAAAGAAAUCGGAGAAAACCUCAGAGGGUUAGGGUUUCAGAAGAACCUUAGACGUAAGAAAGGCUUUGAAAAGUCAUCGAUCUGAGUUGGAGAGGCCAAAAUCAAGUUCACACAACCAUGGCACCCCGGAGCAAGGUCGGAGAUGGCUGUGGAACCUUGAAUCGACAGAGGCCUAGGUUCAAACCUUCAAGGUUAGGCCUUGAAUCUUCAAAAAUCAGGCAUGUGGGAGCCAUAUGAGGCUGGUGAAGGACCCCCAUAGCCUUGGAAGCCAUAGAUUCUGGUGGCUUUCAGGGCGGAGGUGGUAGGAGGAGAUUAGGGUUUGAGAAUAUUCAAGAGAGGUUGAGAGAGUGGAAGGUUU